This 887-nucleotide long non-coding RNA is filed under the name Helianthus annuus (common sunflower). Its description in RNAcentral is "hypothetical non coding rna". The record is from RNAcentral. Lineage: Eukaryota; Viridiplantae; Streptophyta; Magnoliopsida; Asterales; Asteraceae.
UGAUUCUAGUUUCCAUUGGUUUCCUAUCUUAACCCUUUAAAGGCCACAUGGUGUGCAUAAGCUGUGCUUUACAGUAUAUCGGUGGGGCCCGUGAGUUUUUCCCUAACAAGUAUUCGUGGUAAAAAACAAAAAAUAACAAAGAAACAUUACCGAUAGAGUUGAAGCAGAAUCUGCUUUAAUGCUGGUGACGCCCUCUCGAAACACGCCAUAUUUUGCUAUCUUCCUGAUUUUCUUGUAAUAUGUAAAUAUAGAUGUUAUGAGACAAAUGCAGGUAUGAAAACUGGGCAUUGCAACAACUUUUAUUUUACAGUUGAGUGAAACUGAAGUCGUUUGUUGCAAUCAUUUUUGGUCAACUUUUAAGCAAUAUGUGUCUUUCUAUUUGUACCUAUCUUUAGUGCACUACCCAUAGGGUGUUGGGGUGGGUGGUGGGUACAUAUCCAACAACUAAUGGAACUGUCACCAUUGUGAUGCAUACAUUUUUCACUAUGCUACAUGAUGAUUUGGCGAUCGCGUAUUGGUUAAAAUAAAUAAUGUAUCUGAACGCGUUUUCUGCAGAUCAAAGUAGAUCUAUUUGCUUGGUCCUAAAACGGGACAGGUUUUAUUGUCUGGGCUGGUGAGUAUGGAGGUGGUUCUUCAUUUGGUGAUGAACCAACACGUAAGCGGCUACGUCAUCGGGGGCAUCACCUCACCCAACUGAUGGGCCUGGGGUGUGGGUGAUGUGCCUCCCCCUUUAAUAUUCACAUCACAGCGUCAAACACACAGCCUCGUCUCCUUCGUCUCUUGGCCGACGAAACCGACGUGCCUGGCCCCUAGGGGGCGGUGUUGACGGGCCUCGACAACUAGGGGACGGCCCCCAUACCCACCAGCCUCAUUACCGAAACUAUCCU